CACCGCGGUCAUACGAGUGUUUGCCCAAGUAGACAAUUACCGGCGUAAAAUGUGGUUAGGGAACCCCCCAAGUUAAUAGAGCAGAACUGCCUCCGGGCUGUUAUACGCACCCGACAGCGAGAAUUCCUAGCACGAAAGUCGCUCUAAUCCAACCUGAACCCACGAGAGCUGGGGAA
Molecule: ribosomal RNA, 176 nt
Filed under: Hygophum proximum (lantern fish)
Lineage: Eukaryota; Metazoa; Chordata; Actinopteri; Myctophiformes; Myctophidae
Description: partial 12S rRNA
Source: RNAcentral